AUUGAACGCUGGCGGCAUGCUUUACACAUGCAAGUCGAACGGUAACAGGCCUUCGGGUGCUGACGAGUGGCGAACGGGUGAGUAAUGCAUCGGAACGUGCCCAGAGGUGGGGGAUAACGCAGCGAAAGCUGUGCUAAUACCGCAUGUGAUCUGAGGAUGAAAGCGGGGGACCAGGCAGCAAUGUUUGGCCUCGCGCCUUUGGAGCGGCCGAUGUCAGAUUAGGUAGUUGGUGGGGUAAAGGCCUACCAAGCCGACGAUCUGUAGCUGGUCUGAGAGGACGACCAGCCACACUGGGACUGAGACACGGCCCAGACUCCUACGGGAGGCAGCAGUGGGGAAUUUUGGACAAAGGGCGCAAGCCUGAUCCAGCAAUGCCGCGUGCGGGAAGAAGCCCUUCGGGUUGUAAACCGCUUUUGUACGGAACGAAAAGGCUCUGGCUAAUACCUGGGGCUGAUGACGGUACCGUAAGAAUAAGCACCGGCUAACUACGUG
Molecule: ribosomal RNA, 492 nt
Filed under: uncultured bacterium
Lineage: Bacteria
Description: partial 16S ribosomal RNA
Rfam family: Bacterial small subunit ribosomal RNA
Source: RNAcentral